This 22-nucleotide unclassified non-coding RNA is filed under the name Chlamydomonas reinhardtii. RNAcentral describes it as "small RNA Cre_3028". Lineage: Eukaryota; Viridiplantae; Chlorophyta; Chlorophyceae; Chlamydomonadales; Chlamydomonadaceae. The record is from RNAcentral.
UGCAGGUGAUCGCCUCGAUGCG